This 235-nucleotide long non-coding RNA is filed under the name Salarias fasciatus (jewelled blenny). RNAcentral describes it as "lncRNA (ENSSFAG00005008847.1)". The record is from RNAcentral. Lineage: Eukaryota; Metazoa; Chordata; Actinopteri; Blenniiformes; Blenniidae.
GGAACACUUGGGAUGGAAAAAGUUUACCCGGACUGUAGUAAAAACUCCCGAGAAAGCAUGAAGUAACCGCUAUGGAGCCGGACAAUGCCCCGAACUCCAAACUCACAUCCACUGGAGUCGGGGGGAGAGCUCUCAUUCUUUGGAUGAUACUCAGUUGUACCUUCUCUCUGAGGCUUGCUCAGGCUCAAGAUGUGGAUAUUCUACAGCAGCUCGGGCUUUAUGGGAGGAGUCCAGG